Molecule: ribosomal RNA, 912 nt
Filed under: uncultured bacterium
Lineage: Bacteria
Description: bacterial SSU rRNA
Rfam family: Bacterial small subunit ribosomal RNA
Source: RNAcentral
AGAGUUUGAUCCUGGCUCAGGACGAACGCUGGCGGUGUGCUUAAGACAUGCAAGUCGUGCGGACCGUAGCAAUACGGUCAGCGGCGGACGGGUGAGUAACACGUGGAUAACCUGCCUGGCUCCCCGGGAUAACAGGCCGAAAGGCCUGCUAAUACCGGGUAAGCUCACGGGGCCGCAUGGUCCUGGGAGAAAAGCUCCUGCAAGGGAGUGGGGUCAGAGGGGUCCGCGGCCCAUUAGCUAGUUGGGGGGGUAACGGCCCACCAAGGCGACGAUGGGUAGCCGGCCUGAGAGGGCGACCGGCCACACUGGGACUGAGACACGGCCCAGACUCCUACGGGAGGCAGCAGUCGGGAAUUUUGGGCAAUGGCCGAAAGGGCUGACCCAGCAACACCGCGUGAGUGAAGAAGGCCUUCGGGUUGUAAAGCUCUGUUACCCAUGAAGAACGGUGCUCAGAGGAAAUGCUGAGUACUUGACGGUAGUGGGGGAGGAAGCUCCGGCUAACUACGUGCCAGCAGCCGCGGUAAUACGUAGGGAGCGAGCGUUGUCCGGAUUUAUUGGGCGUAAAGGGCGUGUAGGCGGCUUGUUAAGUCUGGAGUGAAAAUCCGGGGCUCAACCCCGGAACUGCUUCGGAUACUGAUGAGCUUGAGUACUCUAGAGGGCAGUGGAAUUCCCGGUGUAGCAGUGAAAUGCGUAGAGAUCGGGAGGAACACCAGUGGCGAAAGCGGCUUUCUGGACAGUAACUGACACUGAGCGCGAAAGCGUGGGGAGCAAACAGGAUUAGAUACCCUGUAGUCCACGCCGUAAACGAUGGAUACUAGGUGUUGGGGGAAGCCCUUCAGUGCCGAAGCUAACGCAUUAAGUACUCCGCCUGGGGAGUACGGCCGCAAGGUUAAAACUCAAAUGAAUUGACGG